This 402-nucleotide long non-coding RNA is filed under the name Cyanoderma ruficeps (rufous-capped babbler). RNAcentral's name for it is "lncRNA (ENSCRFG00000004394.1)". Lineage: Eukaryota; Metazoa; Chordata; Aves; Passeriformes; Timaliidae. The record is from RNAcentral.
AUGCACAAAUGUAUUGGCAGAGCUUGCUGUAAACCUCUGAAUAUGAUGAACUCAGUAUCUGGAUUUGUUAUACUUUCAGGUGGGACCCUCUUCUGACAUGUGAUCUACUGUGAGCUACUUUGACUCCUACAAUGACAAUGUUAUCACUGCCACAUCUCUGGGAACCAGUUAUCCACAAGAACACGGGGCAGAGGUCUGGAAAGGAUCCAGCAGACCAGCUGGUCUGCUUUCCUGCCAUCACAGGAAACUAAUCUGCAGGAGCACAGCUCAUAAAAGAUCGACCUGCCAGAGGACAAGGCUCUGCUUAUUACAGAAAAGCUUCUGAGACAGUGACAGCUGAAAAGAUUACACACUUGCACAGGAAAUUAAAUUUGAUGUAAUAUAGUGAAAGAAUGACAAAAU